GAGUUUGAUCCUGGCUCAGAACGAACGCUGGCGGCGGGCUUAACACAUGCAAGUCGCACGAGAAAGGGGCUUCGGCCCUGAGUAAAGUGGCGGACGGGUGAGUAACACGUGGGUAAUCUGCCCUUCGGCGGGGGACAACAAUCCGAAAGGAUUGCUAAUACCGCAUACGUCGGCGGAGGUUGCGACCUCUGCCGGGAAAGUCGGCCUCUCCAUGGAAGCUGACACCGAAGGAUGAGCCCGCGGCCCAUCAGCUAGUUGGUGAGGUAAAAGCUCACCAAGGCGACGAUCAGUAGCUGGUCUGAGAGGACGACCAGCCACACUGGAACUGAGACACGGUCCAGACUCCUACGGGAGGCAGCAGUGGGGAAUUUUGGACAAUGGGCGAAAGCCUGAUCCAGCCAUUCCGCGUGAGUGAGAAGGCCUUCGGGUUGUAAAGCUCUUUCGCAAGGGAAGAACACUUAGUCUCUAACAUAGACUGAGGUUGACGGUACCUUGAUAAGAAGCACCGGCUAACUACGUGCCAGCAGCCGCGGUAAUACGUAGGGUGCGAGCGUUAAUCGGAAUUACUGGGCGUAAAGCGUGCGCAGGCUGUUUUGUAAGUCAGAUGUGAAAUCCCUGAGCUCAACUUAGGAACUGCGUUUGAAACUACAAGACUAGAAUAUGUCAGAGGGGGGUAGAAUUCCACGUGUAGCAGUGAAAUGCGUAGAGAUGUGGAGGAAUACCAAUGGCGAAGGCAGCCCCCUGGGAUAAUAUUGACGCUCAUGCACGAAAGCGUGGGGAGCAAACAGGAUUAGAUACCCUGGUAGUCCACGCCCUAAACGAUGUCUACUAGUUGUUGGUGGAGUAAAAUCCAUGAGUAACGCAGCUAACGCGUGAAGUAGACCGCCUGGGGAGUACGGUCGCAAGAUUAAAACUCAAAUGAAUUGACGGGGGCCCGCACAAGCGGUGGAUUAUGUGGAUUAAUUCGAUGCAACGCGAAAAACCUUACCUGGCCUUGACAUGUAACGAACUUUCCAGAGAUGGAUUGGUGCUCGAAAGAGAACGUUAACACAGGUGCUGCAUGGCUGUCGUCAGCUCGUGUCGUGAGAUGUUGGGUUAAGUCCCGCAACGAGCGCAACCCUUGCCAUUAAUUGCCAUCAUUUAGUUGGGCACUUUAAUGGGACUGCCGGUGACAAACCGGAGGAAGGUGGGGAUGACGUCAAGUCCUCAUGGCCCUUAUGGCCAGGGCUUCACACGUAAUACAAUGGUCGGUACAGAGGGUUGCCAACCCGCGAGGGGGAGCCAAUCCCAGAAAGCCGAUCGUAGUCCGGAUUGUAGUCUGCAACUCGACUACAUGAAGUCGGAAUCGCUAGUAAUCGCGGAUCAGCAUGUCACGGUGAAUACGUUCCCGGGCAUUGCACACAC
Molecule: ribosomal RNA, 1404 nt
Filed under: uncultured Nitrosomonadaceae bacterium
Lineage: Bacteria; Pseudomonadati; Pseudomonadota; Betaproteobacteria; Nitrosomonadales; Nitrosomonadaceae
Description: bacterial SSU rRNA
Rfam family: Bacterial small subunit ribosomal RNA
Source: RNAcentral